This 499-nucleotide ribosomal RNA is filed under the name fungal sp. TRN245. Its description in RNAcentral is "SSU rRNA". It matches the Rfam family "Eukaryotic small subunit ribosomal RNA", at positions 57 to 560 of the family's 1831-position model. Lineage: Eukaryota; Fungi. The record is from RNAcentral.
GUCUAAGUAUAAGCAACUAUACGGUGAAACUGCGAAUGGCUCAUUAAAUCAGUUAUCGUUUAUUUGAUAGUACCUUACUACAUGGAUACCUGUGGUAAUUCUAGAGCUAAUACAUGCUAAAAACCCCGACUUCGGGAGGGGUGUAUUUAUUAGAUAAAAAACCAAUGCCCUUCGGGGCUCCUUGGCGAAUCAUAAUAACUUAACGAAUCGCAUGGCCUUGCGCCGGCGAUGGUUCAUUCAAAUUUCUGCCCUAUCAACUUUCGAUGGUAGGAUAGUGGCCUACCAUGGUGGCAACGGGUAACGGGGAAUUAGGGUUCGACACCGGAGAGGGAGCCUGAGAAACGGCUACCACAUCCAAGGAAGGCAGCAGGCGCGCAAAUUACCCAAUCCCGAUACGGGGAGGUAGUGACAAUAAAUACUGAUACAGGGCUCUUUUGGGUCUUGUAAUUGGAAUGAGUACAAUUUAAAUCCCUUAACGAGGAACAAUUGGAGGGCAAGU